GAUGAACGCUGGCGGCGUGCUUAACACAUGCAAGUCGAACGAUGAAGCCCAGCUUGCUGGGUGGAUUAGUGGCGAACGGGUGAGUAACACGUGAGUAACCUGCCCUUAACUCUGGGAUAAGCCUGGAAAACUGGGUCUAAUACCGGAUAGGAGCGUCCACCGCAUGGUGGGUGUUGGAAAGAUUUAUCGGUUUUGGAUGGACUCGCGGCCUAUCAGCUUGUUGGUGGGGUAAUGGCUCACCAAGGCGACGACGGGUAGCCGGCCUGAGAGGGUGACCGGCCACACUGGGACUGAGACACGGCCCAGACUCCUACGGGAGGCAGCAGUGGGGAAUAUUGCACAAUGGGCGCAAGCCUGAUGCAGCGACGCCGCGUGAGGGAUGACGGCCUUCGGGUUGUAAACCUCUUUCAGUAGGGAAGAAGCGAAAGUGACGGUACCUGCAGAAGAAGCACCGGCUAACUACGUG
RNAcentral lists this ribosomal RNA (466 nucleotides) under uncultured bacterium. Its description in RNAcentral is "partial 16S ribosomal RNA". It matches the Rfam family "Bacterial small subunit ribosomal RNA", at positions 28 to 507 of the family's 1533-position model. The record is from RNAcentral.